AGUGAACGCUGGCGGUAGGCCUAACACAUGCAAGUCGAACGGCAGCACAGUAAGAGCUUGCUCUUACGGGUGGCGAGUGGCGGACGGGUGAGGAAUACAUUGGAAUCUACUUUUUCGUGGGGGAUAACGUAGGGAAACUUACGCUAAUACCGCAUACGACCUACGGGUGAAAGCAGGGGAUCUUCGGACCUUGCGCGAUUGAAUGAGCCGAUGUCGGAUUAGCUAGUUGGCGGGGUAAAGGCCCACCAAGGCGACGAUCCGUAGCUGGUCUGAGAGGAUGAUAAGCCACACUGGAACUGAGACACGGUCCAGACUCCUACGGGAGGCAGCAGUGGGGAAUAUUGGACAAUGGGCGCAAGCCUGAUCCAGCCAUACCGCGUGGGUGAAGAAGGCCUUCGGGUUGUAAAGCCCUUUUGUUGGGAAAGAAAAGCAGCAGGUUAAUACCCCGCUGUUCUGACGGUACCCAAAGAAUAAGCACCGGCUAACUUCGUG
Molecule: ribosomal RNA, 492 nt
Filed under: uncultured bacterium
Lineage: Bacteria
Description: partial 16S ribosomal RNA
Rfam family: Bacterial small subunit ribosomal RNA
Source: RNAcentral